GGUUAAGCGACUAAGCGUACACGGUGGAUGCCCUGGCAGUCAGAGGCGAUGAAGGACGUGCUAAUCUGCGAAAAGCGCCGGCGAGGUGAUAUGAACCUUUGACCCGGCGAUGUCCGAAUGGGGAAACCCAGUGUGUUCCGACACACUAUCGUUAACUGAAUACAUAGGUUAACGAGGCGAACCGGGGGAACUGAAACAUCUAAGUACCCCGAGGAAAAGAAAUCAACCGAGAUUCCCCCAGUAGCGGCGAGCGAACGGGGAGCAGCCCAGAGUCUGAAUCAGCUUGUGUGUUAGUGGAAGCGUCUGGAAAGUCGCACGGUACAGGGUGACAGUCCCGUACACGAAAGCACACAGGCUGUGAACUCGAAGAGUAGGGCGGGACACGUGGUAUCCUGUCUGAAUAUGGGGGGACCAUCCUCCAAGGCUAAAUACUCCUGACUGACCGAUAGUGAACCAGUACCGUGAGGGAAAGGCGAAAAGAACCCCGGCGAGGGGAGUGAAAAAGAACCUGAAACCGUGUACGUACAAGCAGUGGGAGCCUCUUUUAUGGGGUGACUGCGUACCUUUUGUAUAAUGGGUCAGCGACUUAUAUUCUGUAGCAAGGUUAACCGUAUAGGGGAGCCGAAGGGAAACCGAGUCUUAACUGGGCGUUAAGUUGCAGGGUAUAGACCCGAAACCCGGUGAUCUAGCCAUGGGCAGGUUGAAGGUUGGGUAACACUAACUGGAGGACCGAACCGACUAAUGUUGAAAAAUUAGCGGAUGACUUGUGGCUGGGGGUGAAAGGCCAAUCAAACCGGGAGAUAGCUGGUUCUCCCCGAAAGCUAUUUAGGUAGCGCCUCGUGAACUCAUCUUCGGGGGUAGAGCACUGUUUCGGCUAGGGGGCCAUCCCGGCUUACCAACCCGAUGCAAACUACGAAUACCGAAGAAUGUUAUCACGGGAGACACACGGCGGGUGCUAACGUCCGUCGUGAAGAGGGAAACAACCCAGACCGCCAGCUAAGGUCCCAAAGUCAUGGUUAAGUGGGAAACGAUGUGGGAAGGCACAGACAGCCAGGAUGUUGGCUUAGAAGCAGCCAUCAUUUAAAGAAAGCGUAAUAGCUCACUGGUCGAGUCGGCCUGCGCGGAAGAUGUAACGGGGCUAAACCAUGCACCGAAGCUGCGGCAGCGACACUAUGUGUUGUUGGGUAGGGGAGCGUUCUGUAAGCCGUUGAAGGUGUCCUGUGAGGGGUGCUGGAGGUAUCAGAAGUGCGAAUGCUGACAUAAGUAACGAUAAAGCGGGUGAAAAGCCCGCUCGCCGGAAGACCAAGGGUUCCUGUCCAACGUUAAUCGGGGCAGGGUGAGUCGACCCCUAAGGCGAGGCCGAAAGGCGUAGUCGAUGGGAAACAGGUUAAUAUUCCUGUACUUGGUGUUACUGCGAAGGGGGGACGGAGAAGGCUAUGUUAGCCGGGCGACGGUUGUCCCGGUUUAAGCAUGUAGGCGGAGGUUCCAGGUAAAUCCGGUUCCUUGUUAACGCUGAGGUGUGAUGACGAGGCACUACGGUGCUGAAGUAACAAAUGCCCUGCUUCCAGGAAAAGCCUCUAAGCAUCAGGUAACACGAAAUCGUACCCCAAACCGACACAGGUGGUCAGGUAGAGAAUACCAAGGCGCUUGAGAGAACUCGGGUGAAGGAACUAGGCAAAAUGGUGCCGUAACUUCGGGAGAAGGCACGCUGAUAUGUAGGUGAAGCCCCUGCGGGUGGAGCUGAAAUCAGUCGAAGAUACCAGCUGGCUGCAACUGUUUAUUAAAAACACAGCACUGUGCAAACACGAAAGUGGACGUAUACGGUGUGACGCCUGCCCGGUGCCGGAAGGUUAAUUGAUGGGGUUAGCGGCAACGCGAAGCUCUUGAUCGAAGCCCCGGUAAACGGCGGCCGUAACUAUAACGGUCCUAAGGUAGCGAAAUUCCUUGUCGGGUAAGUUCCGACCUGCACGAAUGGCGUAAUGAUGGCCAGGCUGUCUCCACCCGAGACUCAGUGAAAUUGAACUCGCUGUGAAGAUGCAGUGUACCCGCGGCAAGACGGAAAGACCCCGUGAACCUUUACUAUAGCUUGACACUGAACACUGGUCCUUGAUGUGUAGGAUAGGUGGGAGGCUUUGAAGCGUGGACGCCAGUCUGCGUGGAGCCAACCUUGAAAUACCACCCUUUAAUGGCUGGUGUUCUAACGUAGACCCGUAAUCCGGGUUGCGGACAGUGUCUGGUGGGUAGUUUGACUGGGGCGGUCUCCUCCCAAAGAGUAACGGAGGAGCACGAAGGUUAGCUAAUCCUGGUCGGACAUCAGGAGGUUAGUGCAAUGGCAUAAGCUAGCUUGACUGCGAGAGUGACGGCUCGAGCAGGUGCGAAAGCAGGUCAUAGUGAUCCGGUGGUUCUGAAUGGAAGGGCCAUCGCUCAACGGAUAAAAGGUACUCCGGGGAUAACAGGCUGAUACCGCCCAAGAGUUCAUAUCGACGGCGGUGUUUGGCACCUCGAUGUCGGCUCAUCACAUCCUGGGGCUGAAGUAGGUCCCAAGGGUAUGGCUGUUCGCCAUUUAAAGUGGUACGCGAGCUGGGUUUAGAACGUCGUGAGACAGUUCGGUCCCUAUCUGCCGUGGGCGCUGGAGAAUUGAGGGGGGCUGCUCCUAGUACGAGAGGACCGGAGUGGACGCAUCACUGGUGUUCGGGUUGUCAUGCCAAUGGCACUGCCCGGUAGCUAAAUGCGGAAGAGAUAAGUGCUGAAAGCAUCUAAGCACGAAACUUGCCCCGAGAUGAGUUCUCCCUGAGACUUUAAGUCUCCUGAAGGAACGUUGAAGACUACGACGUUGAUAGGUCGGGUGUGUAAGCGCAGCGAUGCGUUGAGCUAACCGAUACUAAUGAACCGUGAGGCUUAACCUU
RNAcentral lists this ribosomal RNA (2906 nucleotides) under Enterobacter ludwigii. Its description in RNAcentral is "23S ribosomal RNA". It matches the Rfam family "Bacterial large subunit ribosomal RNA". Lineage: Bacteria; Pseudomonadati; Pseudomonadota; Gammaproteobacteria; Enterobacterales; Enterobacteriaceae. The record is from RNAcentral.